Long non-coding RNA from Syngnathus typhle (broad-nosed pipefish), 2406 nucleotides. RefSeq lists it as uncharacterized. The record is from RefSeq and is a predicted model, not a curated record. Lineage: Eukaryota; Metazoa; Chordata; Actinopteri; Syngnathiformes; Syngnathidae. The transcript has 2 exons.
UUUCCUGCAGGCCGUCCGUCAGCGACGCGUCCACAGCUCUGGAAGAAGCCUUGCUUGGGUUGACUUUUCCUUCUCUUUUGCCACAAGCCCCAUGCAUGGUGAGCAACUUUGCGCUGAUAGUAGCCCUCCCUCGUUGGUCAAGAACCCUGUUGAAAGCGCUUUUUGGUCAACGUUUGCACUUCCUGUUUGCUCCUCGAACCCAAGUGGGUGUGGCUUUUUGACUCGAUCUCCACCUUGACGGACUGACGGACGGACGAACGGCCCUCCCAUUUCUACGCCUCUCCACGAGUCGUGUCAGGCGUCCAAAUGGCACAUUCAAGCAAGGCGCUCACGAUGAACCUCAGACGAAUAUGCUAGCGCUGCUCAACCAAGACUCGGACGCCACAUGUCCCGGAUGCACGCUGCCAACCUCCCAGGCCGCAUCGCAUCACGCACACGCCCGCACGCCCGCCCCUCCGAUCUCCGUCCUUUUUACGAGCGCGCCUGCAUGGCGAAAUGACGCCCCGGGACGCACCUUUCCCCGCCCCUUACCCGGCUGCCAUGGUUACUGCAGGUGAGCUCAUUUCCUUCACUUUUAUUGAGUCAAGUCCGUCUGUCUGCUUGACGAGCUCCCUUAUUAGCUCGUUAGCUCAUUAAAGGCGGCGGGGUCAUUAAAGAGACAAACUGACCAUCUUUCACACGCGCGGGCGCGCGCGCACAUACAUAGACAGAGCAGCUGUUCGGGCACGACAUUAAAAGUCUCAUUUUUUCAUUUUAUGGCUCUCGUUAAAGUUUUUAGGGAGCCGCUAAUGACAUCACACACGCGCACGCACUCGUUAGGUUUCAGGGAGUGUGCGACUGUUGACCUUUAGGACAAACGACUGACAAGAAGUUUCAGCGAACGUUAGGUGAGUGAAAAACACCAUUUCUGCUCAUUGAGCAAUUGGCGCCCCGAUCGCUCUCAUCCAGACCACCCGCACGCUGCUGGCCCAUCAAGCCCCCUGACGGCACGAGGGGGAGAGACUGUUGAGCGUCCAGCUGGCGUGUGACACAGGCAGCAAGUAGAUCAUCUUCGACGAGCAGAAUUCCCACAGAGGGUUCUAAUCGGCUUCACCGCGCCAUGGGUUUCCAGCAACUGUCUCCCUCGUGCCUUCUGUUCUUUCCCUUGCUUUGCUUCGCUUCCAGGAGCGUCUUGUGUUCCCGUUUCACCAUUGACCUUGAAAAGUUUCAACUUUUAGCAUGACCGUCCGGUUUAAGCCAUUCUGAUUCCGGAGAGGUGUCCGAAUGUAUCCAGGGAGCAUAAAUGUAUAGGGCACUCACUGACUCACAAUGCACUUGAAAAACAAACAAAAGAAACCCCUUACUUUAGAAUCUAAAGUUUAGAUGGUCUUUUUUCCCUCAAAAAAGCCUUAAUAUAUAUGUGGUCAUUAUUCCCCCCCCCCCCAAAAUCUCUAUACGUGGUCAUUUUUUUUCCCCCCAUAGGUUUUUUUAAGGCUCAAAAGUAGGACAUGUCCGGGGGAAAAAAGGACGUCUGGUCACCAACCUAUAUUUACACUCAAGGAAAGAGCAAUGACGGAAAGGAAAUGGACAUGUUCAUUUGACCCUGGGUUCCAUGCAAGUGAAUGGGGGCACUGCCGUCUUGUGGUAGCCUGGCGUCAUUACAUGAACCGCUUCAUAAACUAUCGCGUCAAAAGCCUGUAUGUUUCAUAUCGUGUGACCUAGGUGUUUAUUUAAUUCUGCUUAUGUGAUGAUAUUUUAAACUAAACAAAUGUACAGUGAAAUACUCAUGUUUAAUUUCUAAUAACCAAAUUAUAUUUACAUUCAAGAAAGAGCAAUGAAGAAAAGGAAAUGGACAUGUUCAUUUGACGCUGAGUCACAUACAAGUGGAUACUGCCAUCUUGUGGUAGGUUAGCGUCAUUACAUGAACCGCUUUAUUAAGGAUAGGCAAAAGCCCAUUAUUAAUUAAAAUUAUAUAAAAUUAUAAUACGAUAAUAUUCAAUGAAAAUAAUAAUAACCAAAGUCCGUUUUAUUGUCAGUUUCCUCACACAGAGAUCGAAACUGCGUUUCCUAUUAUCCCACAGUGACAAGACAUAUUACAUGUUAUCCCUAGACAUUUGGAUAUUUUGUUUUGCAUCACUGAUGCAGCAUCAGUAUUCUUUUCAAGUGGAAAAGAUGAGAAGAAAGGAUCUCCAGCAAUUGUUUAUUUUGAAAAUGCAACCUCUAUUUCUCCGAUUCUCUGGUGUUUGUCCUCCCCAAAUCCACUUUUCGGGGCUGCUCAACGGGUGUUCUACGUGUGCGCUGUGCCGCCAUCUUCAGGCUAAGCACCGAACUGCACCCCGAUUUGACUGGCGUCCUCUCGAUGGGCUGACGCUAAUUCUCGAAACAAUACCGUAGGCGGAGGGAGCUAGCACACUUUGAAGGGGGAAA